CCAACGAAUAUGAGAACACACAUCUGAAAACAAAAAGCAUACAAAAACAACUUGUAUCAGCAUACAAAAAAUUAAACAAGCUAAUCCACUACAUUAUCAUAAGAAAUGCCAGAAACAGAACGAUUUCAACUAAAGCAGAACAAGAGAUUAAGAAGAAAAAAGUGGAAUCCAGUAACAGUUUUGAUAGCGACGUGAUUAUUAGUAAACAAACAACCUUAAAAGCAAACUUUCUCAGAGAUUAUCUAAAAGCAGAUUUGAAUAGAAAGUCUCCAAAUUUUUCUCAGUACCCAAAAACAUAUGAAUUUAAAGGACCACAUAUAAAUCAAAGAGACAGAGAAUUCAAAUACUCACAGCCCAUAGAGGAAGAAUCGGGG
This is a long non-coding RNA of Arabidopsis thaliana (thale cress), 374 nucleotides long. RefSeq annotates it as other RNA. The record is from RefSeq. Lineage: Eukaryota; Viridiplantae; Streptophyta; Magnoliopsida; Brassicales; Brassicaceae. The transcript has a single exon.